GACGAACCGUGCGAACGUUAUUAGGAAUCACUGGGCUUAAAGCGCGUGUAGGCGGGACGGCACGUCGGCCGCUGAAAUCCCCCGGCUCAACCGGGGAAGGGGCGCCGAUACGACCGGCCUGGAGGGACGUAGGGGGGGCUGGAACUUCCGGUGGAGCGGUGAAAUGCGUUGAGAUCGGAAGGAACACCCAGGGGGAAACCAGCCGACUGGGGAUGUGCUGACGCUGAGGUGCGAGAGCGUGGGGAGCGAACCGG
Molecule: ribosomal RNA, 254 nt
Filed under: uncultured bacterium
Lineage: Bacteria
Description: partial 16S ribosomal RNA
Rfam family: Bacterial small subunit ribosomal RNA
Source: RNAcentral